GAUGAACGCUGACAGAAUGCUUAACACAUGCAAGUCGAUGGGGAAGUGGUGCUUGCACCAUGGUCACCAUGGCGGACGGGUGAGUAACGCGUAAGGAACUUACCUGCGGGACCGGGAUAACAGCAGGAAACUGCUGACAAGACCGGAUAAGGUCAUUAAGCUGCAUAGCUUAGUGAUGAAAGGAGACGCCUGCGGAGAGCCUUGCGUCCUAUUAGCUAGUUGGAGGGGUAACGGCCCAACACGGCGAAGAUAGGUAGCCGGCCUGAGGGGGUGGACGGCCACAAGGAGACAGAGAUGCGGCCCCUACUUCUGCGGGAGGCAAGUGUGGGGAAUAUUGGACAAGGGGGGCAACCCUGAUCCAACAAUUCUGUGUGGACGAAGACGGUUUUCGUAGUGAAAAGUGCUUUCAGCAGGGAAGAAGGGAGUGACGGUACCUGCAGAAGAAGCGACGGCUAAAUACGUG
RNAcentral lists this ribosomal RNA (463 nucleotides) under uncultured bacterium. RNAcentral's name for it is "partial 16S ribosomal RNA". It matches the Rfam family "Bacterial small subunit ribosomal RNA", at positions 28 to 507 of the family's 1533-position model. The record is from RNAcentral.